This 450-nucleotide ribosomal RNA is filed under the name uncultured Acidobacteriaceae bacterium. Its description in RNAcentral is "bacterial SSU rRNA". It matches the Rfam family "Bacterial small subunit ribosomal RNA", at positions 8 to 490 of the family's 1533-position model. Lineage: Bacteria; Pseudomonadati; Acidobacteriota; Terriglobia; Terriglobales; Acidobacteriaceae. The record is from RNAcentral.
AGAGUUUGAUCAUGGCUCAGAAUCAACGCUGGCGGCGCGCCUAACACAUGCAAGUCGAACGAGAAAGGGGAGCAAUCCCUGAGUAAAGUGGCGUACGGGUGAGUAACACGUGGAUCAUCUACCUCUUAGUGUGGAAUAACUUUGGGAAACCGAAGCUAAUACCGCAUAAGCCUGAGAAGGGAAAGCAGCAAUGCGCUGAGAGAGGAGUCCGCGGCCGAUUAGCUAGUUGGCGGGGUAAUGGCCCACCAAGGCAAAGAUCGGUAGCCGGCCUGAGAGGGCACACGGCCACACUGGCACUGAAACACGGGCCAGACUCCUACGGGAGGCAGCAGUGGGGAAUCUUGCACAAUGGGGGAAACCCUGAUGCAGCGACGCCGCGUGAGCGAUGAAGCCCUUCGGGGUGUAAAGCUCUUUCGGCAGGGAAGAUUAUGACGGUACCUGCAGAAGCAG